Long non-coding RNA from Ixodes scapularis (black-legged tick), 540 nucleotides. RefSeq lists it as uncharacterized. The transcript has 2 exons. Lineage: Eukaryota; Metazoa; Arthropoda; Arachnida; Ixodida; Ixodidae. The record is from RefSeq and is a predicted model, not a curated record.
CACAGUAUUGACGUCUAAAGCAGUUGAACGAACAUUCACCCGAGAGACAGCAAGAGGAACUCAAAGUUGGUUGGGCUGGCAGCCCGCGGUUUUUGGGAACCAAAAAAACUGCACAUCAGGAGCAUGGCACGGACGCCUUGUCUUUUUUUUUUCCAGGAUGGGGACAAGGGCGACCCGAACAUGACAUACAGUAGAGCGGAGGAAUGGCAGGAGGUAGAAACAACCCUCAGUUUUUGUGGCAUGUAUGCGGGCCCCAGUUUUAAGAAGACUGACACGCUCUUGUACGUUGGGAGGAGAUGGCUGUUUCGGGUCAUCGACUUAGGGGAAGAAACUACAACCUAUCACGCAGUUGAUUGACGUUUGACCUCAAGGUACACAAGAAUGCCAUUUAAUGUUUGCAACAUAUUGGAAUACCUUUGUUUAGGUGUUAGUAUUUUAAGACCCAAGUUCAUCGCAAAACGUUUUAUUGCAACAUGCAAGGCAUCAUUCACAGCCAAAAACCUGUAUAAGGAAGCAAACAUUAAAUGAGUUCCAACUUUA